Molecule: ribosomal RNA, 388 nt
Filed under: Sarsia sp.
Lineage: Eukaryota; Metazoa; Cnidaria; Hydrozoa; Anthoathecata; Corynidae
Description: partial small subunit ribosomal RNA
Rfam family: Eukaryotic small subunit ribosomal RNA
Source: RNAcentral
AUUCCAGCUCCAAUAGCGUAUAUUAAAGUUGUUGCAGUUAAAAAGCUCGUAGUUGGAUUUCGGAAUGGGUCAAUUGGUCCGCCGCAAGGUGAGUUACUGGUUGGUCUGUUCUUCUUCGCAAAGACUGCGUAUGCACUUUAUUGGGUGUGCGUAGGAUUUACGACGUUUACUUUGAAAAAAUUAGAGUGUUCAAAGCAGGCUAUCGCUUGAAUACAUGAGCAUGGAAUAAUGGAAUAGGAAGUCGUUUCUAUUUUGUUGGUUUUCGGAAAUCGACUUAAUGAUUAAUAGGGACAGUCGGGGGCAUUUGUAUUCAAACGACAGAGGUGAAAUUCUUGGACCGUUUGAAGACAAACUACCGCGAAAGCAUUUGCCAAGAAUGUUUUCAUCA